AUGUGCAAACCUCGGCAGACGAAGAGGGGGCAAGAAUCUCCCCUCUCUCCUUCCUCAUCUCCGGCGAGGCCCCGACCCCGCACCCCACGGCGGCCGGAGGCGAUGGCGAGGAAGGGCGUGUCGUACGUGACGGCGGCGCAGCUGGUGUCCAUGGUCAGCGACCCGCGCGUCGCCAUCAUCGACGUCAGGGACGAGGAGCGGAUCUGCGACGCGCACAUCGCCGGGUCGCACCACUACGCCAGCGACGGCUUCGCGGACCGGCUGCCGGAGAUCGCCGAGGCCACCCGGGCCAAGGACACCCUCGUCUUCCACUGCGCCCUCAGCCAGGUGCGCGGUCCAUCUUGUGCAAGAAUGUUCCUGGACUAUUUAUCAGAGGCCAAGGAAGAGUCAGCGGUGAAGAGCAUCACGGUCCUCGAGCGUGGAUUCAACGGAUGGGAGCUUUCAGGGAAAGCUGUUUGCCGCUGCAAGGAUGCUCCUUGCAAGGGUGUAUGCUCUUGA
RNAcentral lists this ribosomal RNA (498 nucleotides) under Triticum aestivum (bread wheat). Its description in RNAcentral is "partial small subunit ribosomal RNA". The record is from RNAcentral. Lineage: Eukaryota; Viridiplantae; Streptophyta; Magnoliopsida; Poales; Poaceae.